AGUCUUCGGGGCAGGGUGAAAUUCCCGACCGGCGGUGAAAGUCCGCGAACUCUCGCGCAGCGGGGGCCGAAUCGGUGCAAUUCCGAUACCGACAGUACAGUCUGGAUGAUAGAAGACG
This 118-nucleotide non-coding RNA is filed under the name bovine gut metagenome. RNAcentral describes it as "FMN riboswitch (RFN element)". It matches the Rfam family "FMN riboswitch aptamer (RFN element)". From Rfam's summary of the family: The RFN element is a highly conserved domain that is found frequently in the 5'-untranslated regions of prokaryotic mRNAs that encode for flavin mononucleotide (FMN) biosynthesis and transport proteins. The record is from RNAcentral.